CAGAUGUGAAAGACCCGGGGCGUCAACCUCGGAAUAGCAUUUGUAAACUAGGCAAACUAGAGUACUGUAGAGGGGGGUAGGAAUUUCAGGUGUAGCGGUGAAAUAGCGUAGAGAUCUGAAGGAAUACCGGUGGCGAAGGCGGCCCCCUCGGACAGAUACUGACACUCAGAUGCGAAAGCGUGGGGAGCAAACAGGAUUAGAUACCCUGGUAG
Molecule: ribosomal RNA, 212 nt
Filed under: uncultured bacterium
Lineage: Bacteria
Description: partial 16S ribosomal RNA
Rfam family: Bacterial small subunit ribosomal RNA
Source: RNAcentral